ACCCUCCGCCCUCUGCCUCCUGCCUCGAACCCCCAGAUCCAAUCCACACAACACCGCCGCCCCCGCACCCCGUACUGUCCACCAUGGCCGCCUCCUCCUCCUCCUCGCUCCGGAUCCCCACACCAACCCACCACCUCGCCGUGGGGGCGUGUCCGCGGCGGCUGCCCUUCCACGUCGUCUCCCCACAGCAGGCGCCGGCACCGGGCGACGGCGACGACGCCAACGGGCCCACCGGCGUGCCCGUGCCCUUCUACCGUGCGGGCAGCUGUUCCGGCGGGGGUCGACGCCGCAGGUGGUGCGCGAGGAGGUGGACGACUUCCUGUGCUCCGAGAGGGGCUGCCGCCGUCGCGUGCUGCCGGAACAAGCAGCAGGGGAGCUUCUGCUUGGCGCAUGCGUCUCCUUCCUUCGGCAGAAGUAGCAGGUGAGGAAGAACCAGCUGCCGACGGGCGAGGGCAUGGGGUACCUGGAGGCCAAGCACCACCUGCUGCUCUUGUCUCACCCAUAACUUGGUUUAUAUGCAUGAUAAUGUCGAGAGCCGAUGACGACACGGUGAUGGAGGCGGUGGACUCGGAGGUGUCGGUGACGUGCACGGACAUGGGGCUGGUCCAGAAAGCGUUCCAGGCCCUGCUGUGCACCAAGCGGCACCCCAUUGACCAGCCGAUGAUGCACGAGGUGGCCCGGGUGCUGCUCUCGCUCAUGCAGCUCCUGCCCUCCAGAGAACAAUCAUGGUGUCUAUUUCUGCUUUAUGCCCCACGUUUCACUAAUAACAUGCCCAACUUCUUGCUCUAUAGGAAAUAA
Molecule: ribosomal RNA, 798 nt
Filed under: Triticum aestivum (bread wheat)
Lineage: Eukaryota; Viridiplantae; Streptophyta; Magnoliopsida; Poales; Poaceae
Description: partial small subunit ribosomal RNA
Source: RNAcentral